Molecule: ribosomal RNA, 445 nt
Filed under: uncultured bacterium
Lineage: Bacteria
Description: SSU rRNA
Rfam family: Bacterial small subunit ribosomal RNA
Source: RNAcentral
AGAGCGAACGCUGGCGGCAGGCCUAACACAUGCAAGUCGAGCGCCCCGCAAGGGGAGCGGCAGACGGGAGAGUAACACGUGGGAACGUACCCUUCAGUUCGGAACAACCCAGGGAAACUUGGGCUAAUACCGAAUACGUCCGUAAGGAGAAAGAUUUAUCGCUGAAGGAUCGGCCCGCGUCUGAUUAGCUAGUUGGUGAGGUAACGGCUCACCAAGGCUACGAUCAGUAGCUGGUCUGAGAGGAUGAUCAGCCUCACUGGGACUGAGACACGGCCCAGACUCCUACGGGAGGCAGCAGUGGGGAAUAUUGGACAAUGGGCGCAAGCCUGAUCCAGCCAUGCCGCGUGGAUGAUGAAGGCCUUAGGGUUGUAAAGUCCUUUCGGACGGGGAAGAUAAUGACGGUACCCGUAGAAGAAGCCCCGGCUAACUUCGUGCCAGCAGCCGC